This 165-nucleotide ribosomal RNA is filed under the name uncultured bacterium. Its description in RNAcentral is "partial 16S ribosomal RNA". It matches the Rfam family "Bacterial small subunit ribosomal RNA", at positions 355 to 511 of the family's 1533-position model. The record is from RNAcentral.
UAGGGAAUCUUCGGCAAUGGACGAAAGUCUGACCGAGCAACGCCGCGUGAGUGAAGAAGGUUUUCGGAUCGUAAAACUCUGUUGGUAGAGAAGAACGUUGGUGAGAGUGGAAAGCUCAUCAAGUGACGGUAACUACCCAGAAAGGGACGGCUAACUACGUGCCCG